RNAcentral lists this ribosomal RNA (442 nucleotides) under uncultured bacterium. Its description in RNAcentral is "partial 16S ribosomal RNA". It matches the Rfam family "Bacterial small subunit ribosomal RNA", at positions 338 to 795 of the family's 1533-position model. The record is from RNAcentral.
CCUACGGGUGGCAGCAGUGGGGAAUAUUGGGCAAUGGGCGCAAGCCUGACCCAGCAACGCCGCGUGAAGGAAGAAGGCUUUCGGGUUGUAAACUUCUUUUCUGGGGGACGAACAAAUGAAGGUUCCCCAGGAAUAAGCCCCGGAUAACUACGGGCCAGCCGCCGCGGUAAUACGUAGGUGGCAAGCGUUUUCCGGAUUUAUUGGGUGUAAAGGGCGUGUAGGCGGGAAUGCAAGUCAGAUGUGAAAACUCAGGGCUCAACCCUGAGCCUGCAUUUGAAACUGUGGUUCUUGAGUGCUGGAGAGGCAGGCGGAAUUCCGUGUGUAGCGGUGAAAUGCGUAGAUAUACGGAGGAACACCAGUGGCGAAGGCGGAUUGCUGGACAGUAACUGACGCUGAGGCGCGAAAGCGUGGGGAGCAAACAGGAUUAGAUACCCUUGUAGUC